Molecule: long non-coding RNA, 1454 nt
Organism: Brachypodium distachyon (stiff brome)
Lineage: Eukaryota; Viridiplantae; Streptophyta; Magnoliopsida; Poales; Poaceae
Exons: 2
Source: RefSeq, a predicted model, not a curated record
GUUAGAGAUUUAUCCUUUGUUGUGAAAUCAAGCCAGUGCUAUUUGCAUGCUAGCUGUGAUCCAUUUUUCAUGUAGAUAGUGCUGUGAAAUAUUAGUGUGUUAAUGUUAAAUUUGUGAUAUUGUUAGCUACGGCAUAUGAUGACCAAGCAAACUGUAGAGGUUGCAUGGCUGUUUUCCAUGUACUUUAUUUUGCUUCAAUGCUAUUAAAACAUUUGUAUGUUUAUUGUGGAGUUCGUGUAUCUAGCCUAACAAAUACUCAUGUGUAAGUGUCUAUAUCAUGAUAUAACCUAGGAAUUGUUGUCAAGUUGAUAACUACACAGUUUUUUUUAUAUUAACUCUACUGUAGUACUACCUCCGUUCCAUAAUUCUUGUUGAAAUAUUACAUGUAUCUAGACGCUUUUUAGGAAUAGAUACAUCCAUUUUGGGGCAAAUUUGAGACAAGAAUUAUGGAACGGAGGGAGUAGUUCUUUUCACCAUACAUGAGAUGCAGAGAUGAGAUGGUUCGCAGGCUGAUUCCCUUCACGAUAGAUCCAAUGGAUAUUUUGCUUUUUGCUGUUCGUGGUGGAAUCUGGAAAAGGUGUAAUUAUCACUAGGAUAGUGCCCCAACAAUUACCCUCACUUGUUACCCAUGUCUUGCUCAUGAACUGGAAAACAAGGUACAGUACUUCUUUAUGCUAUCCCCGCCGUCCCAUACUGUUAGGUAGGAAAGCUAUUGGCCAGACAGAGCACAUAAUCAACUGGAAAAAAAAGAGAAAUGAAAUGCAUUUACUGGUAGAAAAGAAAGGCACCGCUAUCAAUCUGGAUGCAAGGCUGUAUAUGUAUUUUUACUUUUUAGACACAUAAAUCGUGUGCUUGUUUUCUUCUGCGAAUAAUAUUCCUGGUUAUGGUUGUGGCCUUUCCUGAGGAAUAGGUCCUGGGUAGGCAACUAAUGUAUGAAUAUCCCGCCAUGUUUUCUACCUAAUUCUAGCAAUGGUAUGAUGUUCACCUGUUUCAGGUGUAUGAGGCGUCUUAGAAUACUGUUUGAAACUGAUCUAUGCAAAGCUGUUAUUUUUUAUACAGUAUCUACUUAUUCUGUGCCUGAAGUUAGCUAUGUUCAGGGCGCGGUUGGAUGGUUAUUUUGGUCCAAUUUUCUAUUUUAUUAGCCACUAGAUUUCUUGUAGUCAGGACCGGCCAUAUCAUGGAGCAAUUUUUUUUUACUUUCCUCAAUUGCUAUACGCAUGUGCAUUCCGAAAAUAUAUUAAUUCACUGUUGUGUUAUCUUUUUGUCUGAUUGGUUAUGGGCUGUGUGAGCCAUCCAUGUUUGUGUCAUGGUCUCUUUGUAUUUUGUGGUCCUGCUUUUGUCAUCUAUGUAUUGCUACGUAUGAAAAAUACCAUAUCUAUAAUUUUCUUUCCAAUUUUGCUUACCAGAUUGCUAACUUGAUAGGAUGAUCAACUUCUGCAAAUUUCAUGAGAAAA